UCAUGGCACUGUGAAUCUGCCCACACAACUGCAAUAAAUCUCCUUGCCCCAGGACACUCUGGCUUUUCUCUGCUUGCACAAUGCAACCAUCCAUUAGAGGAAGGGCUGCAACAGAUGGGCUCUCCCUUCUCCAGAAACAAGGCUGGAGAGAGAAGCUGCUGUUCCAGGGCAGGAAUUCCCACCAUCACCAGCCUUGGCAAGCUGCUUCCUUCCCUGUUUCUCAGUUAAUGAAAUCAGCACACUUCUGGUACCUUCACCUGAGACAAACUGUAACAGGCAAAAGAAAAGAUACGUGGCAGAAUGACAAACACAGUAAGUACAAAACCUCUUUCAUGUGAAAAACAAAGUUAGCAGGAGAAGUUGAAUGGGAAGGGAUCACUUGGCGUUUGUCGUUGCCAGUCGUGCCGAGCAGGCCAGGUGCCAGGGAGGGGGGACGGACACCGUACAAGAGCUCUGUCUCGUGCCUCUUUGUUCAGCUGCUGAAGCCUUCUAUGCUGUCAGACAACGAUUUCAAGGGCUGUGGGAGAGCUGUGACAGCUACGCUCCAUACAUAAUCCCUGCAUGUUUUCAGGAAAAAGAAUAUAAGGGGGGAAAGGAGGAAUAAACAAUUGCUGUACUUGCAGUAGUUUCUGUGCCCGUUAAUUCAUCAUUCAAUAGAGGUCUCUACUUCUUUUCCCAUCUGCCCUCCUCCUACCACAUUUUCUGAAUUAAAAUUUAAAAAAAUAAUAAUAAUUAAAAAACCACAAUUAAGCAGCAUUUAUUAACAUCUGCCUGUAGUGACCCAGCUGUUGUUCACCAGCCUCUACAGUGAUGUGUUUUAACAUCCUCCUCUCACCUUUCUACGCUUCUUUCCCAGCUCCUUUGAGCACAGGGGGUUCAGGCUGUUAACUCAGCUCCUUCAGGGACAGCUCUACCUUUCAGUCACUUGUGCAGUGACUUGUACCAAUUGGUCCCAGCCCUGAUCACAGCCUUAAACUCCUGGCGAGCCAUUAAUAAUACACAGCAAUCAUUUUAAUUGCAACCGGGUGUCUGGAAUUUAGGAGCUGUGCACAGACUUCCUUCUAUCCACAAUAUUAUUGUCCCAUUGUGCAUUUUGGAGUUUAGCUCUCAUUAAAAGUAAUAGAGGGAAAUAGUCUGUAGCAAACUGAAUGUGUUUGUUUUCACAGUUCACCUCCUGCUCCUCUGCACUAAAACACUCUCGCUCAGUGACAAGACCACAGCUGUUGCCAUCGUUUCCUUACCUGCAGAGUGCAAUAUUUAGCUGGAGGGACACUGAAGUUUUCUGUUUGUUAGUUAUCAUGUCAACAACUCUCACCUUAUCACUUCAGUUUCCAUUCUGUUGAUAAAACCUGUCAGCCUUCCUUGAGUGGUUCCAGGCCCUCAGAAGAAAUCACAUUAAAUUGGCACAUCCAAGUAAAUCUGGAAGCGAUGUGCUCCUGGCUCACCAAAGGAAAUGGGGGAGGGCUUGAAUUUCUCUCCCUCUUCCUCCCUGCACAGCUCCAAUGUCCGAGUGCUUGGAGCAGUGUUGAAAUCCUCCCUACGGACUCAGCAGUUCAAGUCAGAUCAGGUCUUUGAAUAUGGCCCAGAGGAGACGUCUGUGGAGCCGAAAUUGAUAUGUUUAAACGUAAGAGACAAUAAUCAUUUCUUCAAGUAUAAGCUAAAAAUACCCGGAAAAAAAUGGAAUUCAUAAUGGAGAUUUUAAAGAUCUGUGACACACCAGAGCCUGCACAAGGGUUUUAAUGAGAGAGAAGCCAAUUUAAUUGGUCAGUGCGAGCAGAUGCUUUGCUGGGUGAGUGGGCUACGAGGUCUCACAGCCCUGGUUAACGCCAGGAGCAUCAGCCCUGUCCUCAACAUGGCUGUGACAAGCCCGUGUCACAGCAGCGCAGUGUCAGAACCAGGGAACCUCGGUAAUCAACGUCUCCACGGUGUCAGAUCACAGAGCCACGGGGAGAGAGCACUAAAAGGAGGAGGCAAAAGCUGACAAAGGAACAUUCCUGAAAGUAAUUGCAGGACUGACCAUCUCCUCUUGUCGUUUGCUUCAUUAUCACUCUGGGCAUGAAGCUGAACCAGCCUGUUAAGUUUUAACGCUGCGUUAACAGGGAGCUGCCGAGCACCAGGGCUCAGGUUUACAGGCCUCCCCUGUGAAAACUCUUCUGCAGUGUGUGUCACCGUCCUAGGAAAGCCAGGAAUAACUUCCGUGGCCCGUUCAAUUACAGACACUCACACCCAGCUCCCUCUCCUCGUGGCACAGCUCAUCAAUCAGGGCCUCUGUCACUGUGUCUCUUCUCAUCGCAGUCACCAGAAGGCUCUGAGCUCCCUCCCAGUCCAUGCGACAUUUACUGUCAGGGGCUGUCAACACCAAGAGAUUCUCCCAGGGCCUCCGAGUUCAUCACAAAGCAACAAGAUCUAUCCCCAAAAUGCGCUCCCAGUUCCAGCUCUGGAUUACAGUGACUGACUGAGGGGCUUUGCAGCACUCAGGGAAGAGUGAAACAGCAGCACGAGCUGCAGCUCAUGCCCAAAGACCUUUGUUUUCUUAUUCUCUUGUUAGAAAAAUACAACUGCUUUAAGAGAGGUUUCAGGCUAAUGAUUAAUUAAGCUUCCUCAACACCAUCCCUUAUAAACUUAUUAAGGGAAAGCUGAGAUUGUUUACUUGGAAAUUUAGCCUUCCCAUCUUUAGCAUUGAUCCUGCCUUCACUCUCUGUUUAACAACACAGUGACCUAGUGGAAAAAAUUUAUAAAACUUAAUAAAUUGCAGUAGGCAAUAUUGACAGAGUGUGUAUAUGCACAUUUGGGUUUGUAUGAAGUAUUAUAAGAAAUCUAAUAAAGUAAAACAAACACAUUUGCUUUGUUUGUGAGCUGUGAAACAAGAUCCCUGUAAUUACAAUGUUUGAAGCAUACUUGGUCAAAGGGGUAUGGUGAGAUUUUUGGCCGUAUAUUUCUGGUUUGAGAUUGAAGAACAACUAUUGUUUAUCAAGGGUUACAUGUUGCACAAAACUGCUUUGCUCAAGAUGCAGAAAAAUAAAAAUGUUGAUGAAAACCUAAGUUAGCAGAAGACCUCUAUGAGACCAGAGGAACCAGCACCCAGAGAAUAAAGUUCCAGUGGCAAAUGUGUCUCGAAGAAACAAUGAAGGACUUGGAGAUAUGUUCAUUUUGCCUGACCUUUAAGGGGGAAUGGGCCUUAAUGAGUGUUUAAACCAGUGACUGAAAGAGUGCUUUCAAUUGCAAGGUUUUUAGAAGACCAUAGAAUGUAUACAGCCUUCUAGAACCUUGAUGUCUAUUUUUAACUUGCUUUCUACUACAAGCCUGGUUUCCUCUUCCAAUCAAAAUAAACAUAUUUCUUAAGGA
Molecule: long non-coding RNA, 3345 nt
Organism: Corapipo altera (White-ruffed manakin)
Lineage: Eukaryota; Metazoa; Chordata; Aves; Passeriformes; Pipridae
Exons: 3
Source: RefSeq, a predicted model, not a curated record